Molecule: long non-coding RNA, 2051 nt
Organism: Ruditapes philippinarum (Manila clam)
Lineage: Eukaryota; Metazoa; Mollusca; Bivalvia; Venerida; Veneridae
Exons: 2
Source: RefSeq, a predicted model, not a curated record
UAUGGAAGCCUUGGAGGGUCACUUUUGAGUUUCGACUUACGGAUAUUUUACUUUUGACUUUCGACUUUUGACUUUUGAUUUGUGACUUACGUCUUAUGACUUUUGGCUAACCCAUUUUACACGUGCUCUAGAAGCUGAAAGCAGCAACUUUGGUUUCAGACACAACUACUGGACAAAAGGUAACGAGGAUGAAAACCUUGAUGUUGAUCUGUGUCUUCAUCAUUAUACUGUUCAUCAUUACCAAAGCUACCGUGCCAAGAUACCUACCCACAAUAUCUAUAACAAACAAAACUCUGCUGAUAAUAGAGUACUUUCCGGUACAGCAUGGCAUUACGACGUCAUUUAGUACAGUGAAUAGACUUUUUAAACGCUUAAAUUUAAAACGGCGUAAUGGAAUAUAUACUCCUUUUGAGACUGUGUCUGAUGUUAUAAACAGAGAAAUACAAACAAAUGGACAACGCAUAGAAUACCGUACAAUAUGGCGUAGGUUAAUGCUGAAUUACCACAUGUACGUCAAGGGAGACGACGUCAUGGAAAUAAUGGGAGCGCUUGAUCCGGAUGGUAUUGAGAUGCGGAAAGCUCAUCGCUUAUGCCGACGCGUAUACUACGCCAUGACAUAUGGACGGUUAAGACAAACUUAAACCAUAAGGAUUUUAUAUCCAUGGUGCUGUGAAUGGGUAUAAACAUGGUUAGAGGUUUUGGACUCAAAUAACGACCCAAAGACUUAAGCGAUACUUGUGUAUUUAAUGAUCUGGAUCCGAUACAAUGUGAGAACUUAAAAUUUUGCUUCAUGGACCUCAUACAAACCGAGUUUGAUCGGAUUGCACAUGAAAUAAGGCAACAAAAAAGUUCUUCUGUUAUUUGUGGUAAACCUGACACACUGUUUUUUGUACCAGGUCUGUAUGAAACUCACGACUUCGGCAAUGCAGUUAACUUGAGAGACGUAUAUAUUUGCAAAGAACAUGUUUUCACGCCCAAAAAGACAAUGUGAGGAAUUCAUAGAAUUAGCACCCCUUCUUAAGGCAGAUCUACAGAUGCCAUUGGACGCUGAUUCAGCACUACAACUGUGUACCGAGUUGAAAGAUUUAAUUUUGAGAAUAGAUUUAAUAUAAAUACGCUUUGAAACGACUAAUACUGAUUUUUUUCGUGUUAUUGAUAUAUACUAGGUUACUAUAGGUUAAGUUUCAAAAAAUGAUGUUUUAAAAUCAUAAAGACGAUAGUCUACGAUUUCACUUCAUUAUAUGGUUGUUUUAAGAUAUUGGUUUGUAAAUAUUGAGCAAAUUACAAUAUAUUUGUAAAUUAUCAUUUAAGUUAUAACCACUCUAAUUUGCACUAUAAGGCAUUGUAAAAUUGACAACAUUGUUUAGUGGUAUACCUAAAGGACACCUGUAUGCAAAAUUUAAGCAAAAUUUACCGUACGGAUUUGGAGUAGUAGGCAUUUAAAAAAUAUAUACAUGUAUUGAAAGUCUAAAAAAAAAAAUCCGUGUAAUCUCAUUUAAACAUGUUUUGCAAGUGUUGUUUGUUUAGAUGCAAAAAAUAACAUUCUAGUAAUAAACUAUGCAUGUUAAAUGCAUGACUAUUCUCGACACGAUAGAAAUAUGCAUGGUAUUGUUUCUCUACCCCACCAAUUUGAACAUUUUUUUAUCAUAUCCUUCUAAACUUAAAAAAUCACUUAAAUUACAUUAAGUCAAAAGGCUUGUAUCAAUUUGCUAAAUUCUUUCUAGAAGUAUAUUGAUUCAUUCUGUGAAAUAUGGACGGCUUUUACCGGCUAGUUUGUAAUAUAUAAAGCAUUGAAAAUGUUAUAAUUGUAAUUUGCUCUUAGAUUUUUUUAGCAUUAAUUAGGCAAUGAAUAUCUGUAAAAAAAUUAUAAUAAUAGAAAACGUGCAUAUUUUUCCAUCUUAAUAUAGCUAGAAAAAUCUAAACACAUUUAUUGUACAAGUUAAUUGUCCUUUUAAAGAUUUCCAACUCAGCAGCCUGUAAAUAUUAAUUUGUAAAGUUUUUACAUCACAAUAUAUGUAUGUGCAAUUUUGUGACUUUUUACGUAAAAUACA